GUGGAUUAGAUACCCUGGUAGUCCUGGCCGUAAACGAUGAACACUAGGUGUCGGGGGAAUCGACCCCCUCGGUGUCGUAGCCAACGCGUUAAGUGUUCCGCCUGGGGAGUACGCACGCAAGUGUGAAACUCAAAGGAAUUGACGGGGGCCCGCACAAGCGGUGGAGUAUGUGGUUUAAUUCGAUGCAACGCGAAGAACCUUACCAGGGUUUGACAUCCUGCGAAUCCCUUGGAAACGAGGGAGUGCCUUCGGGAACGCAGUGACAGGUGGUGCACGGCCGUCGCCAGCU
This 289-nucleotide ribosomal RNA is filed under the name uncultured bacterium. Its description in RNAcentral is "partial 16S ribosomal RNA". It matches the Rfam family "Bacterial small subunit ribosomal RNA", at positions 773 to 1060 of the family's 1533-position model. The record is from RNAcentral.